This 588-nucleotide long non-coding RNA is filed under the name Monodelphis domestica (gray short-tailed opossum). RNAcentral's name for it is "lncRNA (ENSMODG00000035211.2)". Lineage: Eukaryota; Metazoa; Chordata; Mammalia; Didelphimorphia; Didelphidae. The record is from RNAcentral.
GUGCUCCUUGGACCACCCACAUCUUUUGGCUUCCAUCUCCUGCUGGGCAGGUGAAUCCCCUGAGGGAACAGGUCAGCUGUCUUCUUUCUACACCACUUUCAUCUCUUCCCCCACAAGACAACUUCCACCUCCUGCUGCCAGACCCCUCCAGGACAUCCAUCUCCAUUGCAAAGAAGAGGACCCUGCCUUUGGUUCAUAGACCUUCCCACUUGGGCUUCACCUGUCUUUUGGGGAGAACAGUGACUAGGAAAUGGGAAUUCAUUCUCCAGCUGUAAAGAUUCAGCUUCUGUCUCCAGCUGUGCCUUUUCCUGACUCAUCUUCAGCCUUUGGAGAGAUGAAGAGGUGUAAAGGGCCAAUCACAGCUUCCAAAUUGCCUAUUAUCAAUGGAUUCACACAUUUCUGACUGAUUGAGUUAAAAGGAUGAAGCUCUCCAAAUGCUUCUACCCUGAUUAUUGAUCUAUAUCACUUUCUCAAGGGUCCCUUUCAUCUCCAACACAUGGAUUACCUGAAAUUCUCCAUGGAUUUGGGUUCUAAGAAGGAAUUUGGUAAGAAAGAGAAAGGAUCAGUAAACUUUCUCUUUCCCAGUGU